This 159-nucleotide ribosomal RNA is filed under the name Parasenecio ainsliaeiflorus. Its description in RNAcentral is "5.8S ribosomal RNA". It matches the Rfam family "5.8S ribosomal RNA". Rfam says of the family: 5.8S ribosomal RNA (5.8S rRNA) is a component of the large subunit of the eukaryotic ribosome. It is transcribed by RNA polymerase I as part of the 45S precursor that also contains 18S and 28S rRNA. Functionally, it is thought that 5.8S rRNA may be involved in ribosome translocation. Lineage: Eukaryota; Viridiplantae; Streptophyta; Magnoliopsida; Asterales; Asteraceae. The record is from RNAcentral.
GACUCUCGGCAACGGAUAUCUCGGCUCACGCAUCGAUGAAGAACGUAGCAAAAUGCGAUACUUGGUGUGAAUUGCAGAAUCCCGUGAACCAUCGAGUUUUUGAACGCAAGUUGCGCCCGAAGCCUUUCGGUCGAGGGCACGUCUGCCUGGGCGUCACAU